GGGGAUUUAGCUCAGUGGCAUAAGCGCCUGCCUGGGAAGCAUGAGGUCAUGAGUUCAAUCCCCA
This is a transfer RNA of Cavia porcellus (domestic guinea pig), 64 nucleotides long. It matches the Rfam family "tRNA". From Rfam's summary of the family: Transfer RNA (tRNA) molecules are approximately 80 nucleotides in length. Lineage: Eukaryota; Metazoa; Chordata; Mammalia; Rodentia; Caviidae. The record is from Rfam.